GACGAACGCUGGCGGCGUGCUUAACACAUGCAAGUCGAACGGAAAGGCUCCAGGUUGCUGGAGUACUCGAGUGGCGAACGGGUGAGUAACAAGUGGGUAAUCUGCCCUGCACUCUGGGAUAAGCCUGGGAAACUGGGUCUAAUACUGGAUAUGACCUUUCUCCUUAUGGGGUUUGGUGGAAAGUUUUUCGGUGUAGGAUGAGCCCGCGGCCUAUCAGCUUGUUGGUGGGGUGAUGGCCUACCAAGGCGACGACGGGUAGCCGGCCUGAGAGGGUGAUCGGCCACAUUGGGACUGAGAUACGGCCCAGACUCCUACGGGAGGCAGCAGUGGGGAAUAUUGCACAAUGGGCGGAAGCCUGAUGCAGCGACGCCGCGUGAGGGAUGACGGCCUUCGGGUUGUAAACCUCUUUCAGCAGGGACGAAGCGUAAGUGACGGUACCUGCAGAAGAAGCACCGGCUAACUACGUG
RNAcentral lists this ribosomal RNA (467 nucleotides) under uncultured bacterium. RNAcentral describes it as "partial 16S ribosomal RNA". It matches the Rfam family "Bacterial small subunit ribosomal RNA", at positions 28 to 507 of the family's 1533-position model. The record is from RNAcentral.